Molecule: ribosomal RNA, 484 nt
Filed under: uncultured bacterium
Lineage: Bacteria
Description: partial 16S ribosomal RNA
Rfam family: Bacterial small subunit ribosomal RNA
Source: RNAcentral
AUUGAACGCUGGCGGCAGGCCUAACACAUGCAAGUCGAGCGGAUGAAGGGAGCUUGCUCCUGGAUUCAGCGGCGGACGGGUGAGUAAUGCCUAGGAAUCUGCCUGGUAGUGGGGGAUAACGUCCUGAAACGGGCGCUAAUACCGCAUACGUCCUGAUGGAGAAAGUGGGGGAUCUUCGGACCUCACGCUAUCAGAUGAGCCUAGGUCGGAUUAGCUAGGUGGUGGGGUAAAGGCCUACCAAGGCGACGAUCCGUAACUGGUCUGAGAGGAUGAUCAGUCACCCUGGAAGUGAGACACGGUCCAGACUCCUACGGGAGGAAGCAGUGGGGAAUCUUGGGCAAUGGGCGAAAGCCUGAUCCAGCCAUGCCGCGUGUGUGAAGAAGGUCUUCGGAUUGUAAAGCACUUUAAGUUGGGAGGAAGGGAAGUAAGUUAAUACCUUGCUGUUUUGACGUUACCAACAGAAUAAGCACCGGCUAACUUCGUG